Molecule: unclassified non-coding RNA, 18 nt
Filed under: synthetic construct
Source: RNAcentral
CUGAGAGAGAGGAAGAUG